UUAAGUUUCUUUGUUUAGAUAAAACAAAGUGGUGCGGAUGGGUUACUCCCGCUCAGUUUCUUGCUUCUGAUUAAAAAGCAAGUGGCGUGCAUGACA
RNAcentral lists this non-coding RNA (96 nucleotides) under unclassified sequences. RNAcentral's name for it is "wcaG RNA". It matches the Rfam family "wcaG RNA". The record is from RNAcentral.